CCUGAAAGUGAAAGCGAAGGUAAGUGUGAAAGUGAAAGCGAAAGUAAGUGUGAAAGCGAAAGUAAGUGUGAAAGUGAAAGUGAAAGUGAAAGUGGGGCUGUGUAGGGGUGAGGAAGGAGGCGCCGAGACCCAAAAUCUGUUUGCUGUCGGUGACAAAAUCCUGAAACUGAAAGCGAAACAGGAAGUGGAUGUGAAACAGGAAGUGGAUGUGAAGCAGGAAGUGGAUGUGAAACAGGAAGUGAAUGUGAAACAGGAAAUGAAAGUGAAAGUGGCUGCAUGGGGGUGAAGAAGGAGGCACCGAGGCUCGAAAGUUGUUGGUGAUGAUGAGGGCCUGAAAGUGAAGCCGAAAGUGAAACCAAAAGUGAAUGUGAAACAGGAAGUGAGUGUGAAACAGGAAGUGAGUGUGAAACAGGAAGUGAAAGUGAAAGUGGCUCUGUGGAGGUGAAGGAGGCGCCAGGGCCCCAAAUUAGUUUGAUGUUGGUGAAGAUGUGGGGCCUGAAAGCGAAAGUGAAACCGGAAGUGGAUGGGAAACAGGAAGUGGAUGCGAAACAGGAAGUGGAUGCAAAACAGGAAGUGAAAGCGAAACAGGAAGUGAAAGUGAAACUAAAGCGGAUGUAAAAGCGAAAGUAAAACCAAAUGUGGCAGCGUAAAGCGAAAAGGGCGAA
RNAcentral lists this long non-coding RNA (665 nucleotides) under Numida meleagris (helmeted guineafowl). RNAcentral describes it as "lncRNA (ENSNMEG00000000844.1)". The record is from RNAcentral. Lineage: Eukaryota; Metazoa; Chordata; Aves; Galliformes; Numididae.